UACGGAAGGCAGCAGUGGGGAAUAUUGCACAAUGGGCGCAAGCCUGAUGCAGCCAUGCCGCGUGUAUGAAGAAGGCCUUCGGGUUGUAAAGUACUUUCAGUCGUGAGGAAGGUGUUAAGGUUAAUAACCUUAGCAAUUGACGUUAGCGACAGAAGAAGCACCGGCUAACUCCGUGCCAGCAGCCGCGGUAAUACGGAGGGUGCGAGCGUUAAUCGGAAUUACUGGGCGUAAAGGGCACGCAGGCGGUUAAUUAAGUUGGAUGUGAAAUCCCCGGGCUUAACCUGGGAAUGGCAUUCAAGACUGGUUAGCUAGAGUCUUGUAGAGGGGGUAGAAUUCCAUGUGUAGCGGUGAAAUGCGUAGAGAUGUGGAGGAAUACCGGGUGCGAAGGCGGCCCCUGGGACAAAGACUGACGCUCAUGUGCGAAAGCGUGGGGAGCAAACGAGGAUUAGAUACC
This 454-nucleotide ribosomal RNA is filed under the name uncultured bacterium. Its description in RNAcentral is "bacterial SSU rRNA". It matches the Rfam family "Bacterial small subunit ribosomal RNA", at positions 340 to 786 of the family's 1533-position model. The record is from RNAcentral.